UACGAAGGGGGCUAGCGUUGCUCGGAAUUACUGGGCGUAAAGCGCACGUAGGCGGCUUUCUAAGUCGGGGGUGAAAUCCUGGAGCUCAACUCCAGAACUGCCUUUGAUACUGAAGAUCUUGAGUUCGGGAGAGGUGAGUGGAACUGCGAGUGUAGAGGUGAAAUUCGUAGAUAUUCGCAAGAACACCAGUGGCGAAGGCGGCUCACUGGCCCGAUACUGACGCUGAGGCACGAAAGCGUGGGGAGCAAACAGG
This 253-nucleotide ribosomal RNA is filed under the name uncultured bacterium. RNAcentral describes it as "partial 16S ribosomal RNA". It matches the Rfam family "Bacterial small subunit ribosomal RNA", at positions 524 to 776 of the family's 1533-position model. The record is from RNAcentral.